UGUGAAGCGUGGGAGAGAAGAAGCAAUAGUGAAAUCGUAGCCUGACGAACAGAAACUUGAUACUAAGGCGCAGCAGGCGGAUGAGUUGACCAAAAGCAACGAAGUCCAAAAGGUAACCGUAACCCUGUUGCGUAAAUCAAGCAGGUAGACGAGGAAAGAGU
This 161-nucleotide non-coding RNA is filed under the name human gut metagenome. The record is from RNAcentral.